CCCUUAGAUGUUCUGGGCCGCACGCGCGCUACACUGAUGCAUUCAACGAGUCUACAACCUGGUCUGAUAGGGCUGGGUAAUCUUUUGAAUGUGCAUCGUGAUUGGGAUAGAUGAUUGCAAUUCUUCAUCUUCAACGAGGAAUGCCUAGUAAACGCAAGUCAUCAGCUUGCAUUGAUUACGUCCCUGCCCUUUGUACACACCGCCCGUCGCUCCUACCGAUUGAAUGAUCCGAUGAAUAUCAUGGAUUGAGGAUGCAAGUAGGUUCACCUAUCUUCAUCUUCGAGAAGUGAAGUAAAUCUUAUCAUUUAGAGGAAGGAGAAGUCGUAACA
Molecule: ribosomal RNA, 329 nt
Filed under: uncultured eukaryote
Lineage: Eukaryota
Description: partial 18S ribosomal RNA
Rfam family: Eukaryotic small subunit ribosomal RNA
Source: RNAcentral